RNAcentral lists this transfer RNA (72 nucleotides) under Ovis aries (sheep). It matches the Rfam family "tRNA". From Rfam's summary of the family: Transfer RNA (tRNA) molecules are approximately 80 nucleotides in length. Their secondary structure includes four short double-helical elements and three loops (D, anti-codon, and T loops). Further hydrogen bonds mediate the characteristic L-shaped molecular structure. tRNAs have two regions of fundamental functional importance: the anti-codon, which is responsible for specific mRNA codon recognition, and the 3' end, to which the tRNAs corresponding amino acid is attached (by aminoacyl-tRNA synthetases). tRNAs cope with the degeneracy of the genetic code in two manners: having more than one tRNA (with a specific anti-codon) for a particular amino acid; and 'wobble' base-pairing, i.e. permitting non-standard base-pairing at the 3rd anti-codon position. The record is from Rfam by way of RNAcentral. Lineage: Eukaryota; Metazoa; Chordata; Mammalia; Artiodactyla; Bovidae.
UCCCUGGUGGUUUAAUGGUGAAAGAAUCUGCCUGUAAUGCAGGAGACACGGGUUCGAUCCCUGGGUUGGGAA